RNAcentral lists this ribosomal RNA (378 nucleotides) under Triticum aestivum (bread wheat). RNAcentral's name for it is "partial small subunit ribosomal RNA". Lineage: Eukaryota; Viridiplantae; Streptophyta; Magnoliopsida; Poales; Poaceae. The record is from RNAcentral.
AUGGACGUAUUAGCCACCACGUGGCUUAAAUGGGGCAUUCGUCUUCAGCGCAACGGCGGGUGCAAUGGCAGUGCAGGUGGCCCAUCGCAGCACCUUCUGUUGCGAGUAGUGGCUCGUGGGUCUGCAAAGACGAUGCGGCGAACGGCGGCCUUCGACUUCGAGGCAGCUGCGGCGGCGGGAACCACCGUCCGAGGUGCGGUGGUCACAAUAGCACUGAAGGUGUGUUCCAUGGCAUUCAUGGCGGUGGUGGAAGAGCAGAGGCAGGGCGACUGCAUGUGUGAAGUUUCAGCUGACGAUUGGGGCGUCACGCUGCCGUUUUUGCAUUUGGGCAGUCGUGUGUGUGAUGUAAAUUUACAUCACUUGGGGCUGGUUUUUUGA